This 252-nucleotide ribosomal RNA is filed under the name uncultured bacterium. Its description in RNAcentral is "partial 16S ribosomal RNA". It matches the Rfam family "Bacterial small subunit ribosomal RNA", at positions 524 to 776 of the family's 1533-position model. The record is from RNAcentral.
UACAGAGGGUGCGAGCGUUAAUCGGAAUGACUGGCGUAAAGGGUGCGUAGGUGGUGAGAUAAGAUGAAUGUGAAAUCCCUGGGCUUAACCUAGGAAUGGCAUUGAUGACUGUCUCGCUAGAGUAUUGUAGAGGGUAGUGGAAUUUCCGGUGUAGCGGUGAAAUGCGUAGAGAUCGGAAGGAACAUCAGUGGCGAAGGCGGCUACCUGGACAAAUACUGACACUGAGGCACGAGAGCGUGGGGAGCAAACAGG